UGGGAAUAUUGCGCAAUGGGGGAACCCGUAGGACCGCAGCGACGCCGCGUGAGUGAAGAAGGCUUUCGGGUCGUAAAGCUCUUAUCUGCGGGAAGAAGAGACGGUACCGCAGGAGAAAGCCCCGGCUAACUACGUGCCAGCAGCCGCGGUAAUACGUAGGGGGCAAGGCGUUGUCCGGAGUAACUGGGCGUAAAGGGCGCGUAGGCGGAAUAAUAAGUCAGUUGUGAAAGAUAUGGGCUCAACUCAUAGAACGCAUCUGAAACUGUUAAAUCUGGAGUAUAGGAGAGGGAAACGGAAUUCCUGGUGUAGCGGUGAAAUGCGUAGAGAUCAGGAAGAACAUCAGUGGCGAAGGCGGUUUCCUGGCCUAAAACUGACGCUGAAGCGCGAAAGCAUGGGUAGCGAACAGGAUUAGAUACCCUGGUAGUCCAUG
RNAcentral lists this ribosomal RNA (430 nucleotides) under uncultured bacterium. RNAcentral describes it as "partial 16S ribosomal RNA". It matches the Rfam family "Bacterial small subunit ribosomal RNA", at positions 356 to 799 of the family's 1533-position model. The record is from RNAcentral.